RNAcentral lists this ribosomal RNA (465 nucleotides) under uncultured bacterium. RNAcentral's name for it is "partial 16S ribosomal RNA". It matches the Rfam family "Bacterial small subunit ribosomal RNA", at positions 338 to 795 of the family's 1533-position model. The record is from RNAcentral.
CCUACGGGUGGCAGCAGUGGGGAAUAUUGCGCAAUGGGCGAAAGCCUGACGCAGCGACGCCGCGUGAGGGAUGAAGGUCUUCGGAUCGUAAACCUCUGUCAGCAGGGAAGAACGGUCACUGUGCUAAUCAGCAGUGAAUUGACGGUACCUGCAAAGGAAGCAUCGGCUAACUCCGUGCCAGCAGCUGCGGUAAUACGGAGGGUGCGAGCGUUAAUCGGAAUUACUGGGCGUAAAGCGCUCGUAGUCGGUAUGUCAAGUCAAGGGUGAAAUCCCCGCGCUCAACGGGGGAAGUGCCUUUGAAACUGGCAGACUGGAGUAUAUGAGAGGCUGGUGGAAUUCCAGGUGUAGGAGUGAAAUGCGUAGAUAUCUGGAAGAACAUCGAUGGCGAAGGCAGCUAACUAACACGUAACUGACGCUGAGGAGCGAAAGCGUGGGUAGCAAACAGGAUUAGAUACCCGAGUAGUC